GUAUCAACAAAGUCGCCCGAAGAUACGUAAGGUGCUGCAGCUGUUGCGUCUGCGGAAGAUCAACACCUUCAUCAAGCUGAACAAGGUCACCAGAACAUGCUGCGCAUCGCCGACCCGUGCUAAAUUCGUCCCCUGCAACCUGAUCUAUCUCGUGCUCGUGGCACACUCGUUUGAUCGCAGAACUUCCUCAUCAACUACCGGGCUGACCAUUUCCCAGCACUGAGAAAUGUCCUGUGAAGCGAAACUCGGCUGGAAUACGACCCUGACAAACUGGCUGAGCCCGGAACUACACGAACAUUGGCGUCAACGGCACGUACUGUCUGGUUUUCAAGACGGCAAAACUGACGUUCGGUCCUCACCUUGUGGCAACUGUUCCACCCGCGGAAAUCGGAACCGUUCAGGCGAACCACAAAACGCAGUCGCUGCUGGUCUUUUUGGUCCAGGCCAACCAAGUCCUGCUGCUGGUCUACACACCAGAACCUGCA
Long non-coding RNA from Culex pipiens pallens (northern house mosquito), 485 nucleotides. RefSeq lists it as uncharacterized. NCBI's taxonomy places the organism in Eukaryota, Metazoa, Arthropoda, Insecta, Diptera, Culicidae. The transcript is spliced from 3 exons. The record is from RefSeq and is a predicted model, not a curated record.